UCCUUGCCCUCCUCUUCAAACGGGAUUUCGUCUCUAUGGAUUACAGUCUUGAUUUUUGGUUAAAAUUGGAAGAUUGCUCUUUAGCUUCUACUCUCUCCUGAAAGCUCACUAAAGUACAGUAAAAAGUGUUAUUAAAAAAGACUUAAAGGCUGGGCGCGGUGGCUUACAUCUGUAAUCCUGGCACUUUGGGAGGCUGAGGCAGGCGGAUGCCUUGAGCCCAGGAGUUUGGAACUAGCCUAGGCAACAUGACGAAACCCUGCCUCUACAAAAAAAUACAAAAAAUGAGUUGGGUGUGGUAUUGCAAGUGGGAAGAUCACCUGAGCCGGGAGAGGUGGAGGCUGCUGUCAGUCAAGAUCAUGCCACUGCUCUCCAGCCUGGAUGACAGAGAAAAACCCUGUCUCAAAAAAAAAAAAAGUACUUAAACACUAAAGAAAAUUGGAAAAGAGACAACAGCCCACAAAGCUGCUUAAAUUGGAAAGCAAAUGGGAAAACGAUGACGAAAUUAGCAGAUGGGAGAAAGCUUAGUCCUAAAAGGGAAGUGAGGUAAGCUGAUAAGCAAACUCAUCUAAGCUGCGGAAAGACCCAAAGACAAGGAACUGGCGGCACCAUGUGCCUUUGGACACGGGGACGUGAGAGUAAAACAUGGACGCUGGUUGAAAAUCUGUUGAAAACGCAGUGGAACUUCAGGAAUUUCUUCCCCUGCCACAGGUUGCUGGCAGAGGUGGUUGGGGCUAUGUGCCUGGAGUGAAGAUUCUGCCCAUUGGUCAAGAGACCUCCCUCUCAGAUGCUGGCUCUGCCCCUGCCUUUGGGGGUCGACCCUUGUACUCGCAGGACCUUAGGUGACUCU
RNAcentral lists this non-coding RNA (847 nucleotides) under Pongo abelii (Sumatran orangutan). The record is from RNAcentral. Lineage: Eukaryota; Metazoa; Chordata; Mammalia; Primates; Hominidae.